CCUACGGGAGGCUGCAGUAGGGAAUAUUGCUCAAUGGGGGAAACCCUGAAGCAGCAACGCCGCGUGGAGGAUGAAGGUUUUCGGAUUGUAAACUCCUUUUGUUAGAGAAGAUAAUGACGGUAUCUAACGAAUAAGCACCGGCUAACUCCGUGCCAGCAGCCGCGGUAAUACGGAGGGUGCAAGCGUUACUCGGAAUCACUGGGCGUAAAGAGCGCGUAGGCGGGAUAGCAAGUCAGAUGUGAAAUCCUAUGGCUUAACCAUAGAACUGCAUUUGAAACUGUUAUUCUAGAGUAUGGGAGAGGUAGGUGGAAUGCUUGGUGUAGGGGUAAAAUCCGUAGAGAUCAAGAGGAAUACUCAUUGCGAAGGCGACCUGCUAGAACAUAACUGACGCUGAUGCGCGAAAGCGUGGGUAGCAAACAGGAUUAGAUACCCGGGUAGUC
Molecule: ribosomal RNA, 440 nt
Filed under: uncultured bacterium
Lineage: Bacteria
Description: partial 16S ribosomal RNA
Rfam family: Bacterial small subunit ribosomal RNA
Source: RNAcentral